Molecule: ribosomal RNA, 1475 nt
Filed under: Candidatus Pelagibacter sp.
Lineage: Bacteria; Pseudomonadati; Pseudomonadota; Alphaproteobacteria; Candidatus Pelagibacterales; Candidatus Pelagibacteraceae
Description: bacterial SSU rRNA
Rfam family: Bacterial small subunit ribosomal RNA
Source: RNAcentral
AAACUUGAGAGUUUGAUCAUGGCUCAGAACGUACGCUGGCGGCACGCCUAACACAUGCAAGUCGAACGAAGUAGCAAUACUUAGUGGCAGACGGGUGAGUAACAUGUGGGUAUCUGCCCUUUGGCCUGGAAUAACACGAGGAAACUUGUGCUAAUACUGGAUAAGUCUUUACAGAGAAAGCUUUAUGCACCAUUGGAUGAGCCCGCACUUGAUUAGUUUGUUGGUGGGGUAAUGGCCUACCAAGACUGUGAUCAAUAGCUGAUUUGAGAGGAUGAUCAGCCACAUUGGGACUGAGACACGGCCCAAACUCCUACGGGAGGCAGCAGUGGGGAAUCUUGCACAAUGGAGGAAACUCUGAUGCAGCGAUGCCGCGUGAGUGAAGAAGGCCCUUGGGUUGUAAAGCUCUUUCGUCGGGGAAGAAAAUGACUGUACCCGAAUAAGAAGGUCCGGCUAACUUCGUGCCAGCAGCCGCGGUAAUACGAAGGGACCUAGCGUAGUUCGGAAUUACUGGGCUUAAAGAGUUCGUAGGUGGUUGAAAAAGUUGGUGGUGAAAUCCCAGAGCUUAACUCUGGAACUGCCAUCAAAACUUUUCAGCUAGAGUUUGAUAGAGGAAAGCAGAAUUUCUAGUGUAGAGGUGAAAUUCGUAGAUAUUAGAAAGAAUACCAAUUGCGAAGGCAGCUUUCUGGAUCAUUACUGACACUGAGGAACGAAAGCAUGGGUAGCGAAGAGGAUUAGAUACCCUCGUAGUCCAUGCUGUAAACGAUGUGUGUUAGACGUUGGAAAUUUAUUUUCAGUGUCGCAGCGAAAGCGAUAAACACACCGCCUGGGGAGUACGACCGCAAGGUUAAAACUCAAAUGAAUUGACGGGGACCCGCACAAGUAGUGGAGCAUGUGGUUUAAUUCGAAGAUACGCGCAGAACCUUACCAACACUUGACAUGUUCGUCGCGACUUUAAGAGAUUAAAGUUUUCGGUUCGGCCGGACGAAACACAGGUGCUGCAUGGCUGUCGUCAGCUCGUGUCGUGAGAUGUUGGGUUAAGUCCCGCAACGAGCGCAACCCUCACUUUUAGUUGCCAUCAUUUAGUUGGGCACUCUGAAAGAACUGCCAGUGAUAAGCUGGAGGAAGGUGGGGAUGACGUCAAGUCCUCAUGGCCCUUACGUGUUGGGCUACACACGUGCUACAAUGGUAUUUACAACAGGAAGCAAAACAGCGAUGUUAAGCAAAUCCUCAAAAGAUACCUCAGUUCGGAUUGCACUCUGCAACUCGAGUGCAUGAAGCUGGAAUUACUAGUAAUCGUGGAUCAGCGUGCCACGGUGAAUGCGUUCCCGGGUCUUGUACACACCGCCCGUCACACCAUGGGAGUUGGUUCUACCUUAAGGCAAGGUUUAAUACCCUUGACCACGGUAUAGUCAGCGACUGGGGUGAAGUCGUAACAAGGUAGCCGUAGGGGAACCUGCGGCUGGAUUACCUCCUUU